GCUGGGCGUGGUGGUGCACACCUAUAAUCCCAGAUACUCGGGAGGCUGAGACAGGAGAAUCACUUGAACCCAGGAUGCGGAGGCUGCAGUGAGCUGAGAUUAUGCCACUGCACUCCAGCCUGGGUGACAGAGUGAGACUCUGUCUCAA
Molecule: non-coding RNA, 148 nt
Filed under: Pan paniscus (pygmy chimpanzee)
Lineage: Eukaryota; Metazoa; Chordata; Mammalia; Primates; Hominidae
Also listed under: 1 other name
Source: Rfam by way of RNAcentral